Molecule: ribosomal RNA, 451 nt
Filed under: uncultured bacterium
Lineage: Bacteria
Description: partial 16S ribosomal RNA
Rfam family: Bacterial small subunit ribosomal RNA
Source: RNAcentral
GAUGAACGCUGGCGGCGUGCCUAACACAUGCAAGUCGAGCGGCAGCGAGGGGUGCUUGCACCCUGUCGGCGAGCGGCGGACGGCUGAGUAACGCGUGGGAACGUGCCCCAAAGUGAGGAAUAACUGCCCGAAAGGGUAGCUAAUACCGCAUAUUAUCUUCGGAUCAAAGGAUUUAUCCGCUUUGGGAGCGGCUCGCGUCGGAUUAGGUAGUUGGUGAGGUAAUGGCUCACCAAGCGGACGAUCCGUAGCUGGUCUGAGAGGAUGACCAGCCAGACUGGAACUGAGACACGGUCCAGACUCCUACGGGAGGCAGCAGUGAGGAAUCUUCCACAAUGGGCGAAAGCCUGAUGGAGCAACGCCGCGUGCAGGACGAAGGCCUUCGGGUUGUAAACUGCUUUUAUAAGUGAGGAAUAUGACGGUAACUUAUGAAUAAGGAUCGGCUAACUACGUG